GAUGAACGCUGGCGGCGUGCUUAACACAUGCAAGUCGAACGAAGCCCUCUAUUUGAUUUCCUUCGGGACUGAUUAUUUUGUGACUGAGUCCCGUACGUUCGAGUAACGCGUGGGUAACCUGCCUUGAAAAGGGGGAUAACAGUUGGAAACGGCUGCUAUUACCGCAUGAGCGCACAGCGUCGCAUUAUCCAGUUUGUAAAGCUCCGGCGUACUAAGAUGGGCCCGCGUUGGAUUAGCUAGUUGGUGAGGUAACGGCCUACCAAGGCGACGAUCCAUAGCCGACCUGAGAGGAUGACCAGCCACAUUGGGACUGAGACACGGCCCAGACUCCUACGGGAGGCAGCAGUGGGGAAUAUUGGACAAUGGGCGAAAGCCUGAUGCAGCGACGCCGCGUGAGCGAAGAAGUAUUUAGGGAUGUAAAGCUCUAUCAGCAGGGAAGAUAAUGACGGUACCGGACGAAGAAGCACCGGCUAACUACGUG
Molecule: ribosomal RNA, 481 nt
Filed under: uncultured bacterium
Lineage: Bacteria
Description: partial 16S ribosomal RNA
Rfam family: Bacterial small subunit ribosomal RNA
Source: RNAcentral